RNAcentral lists this ribosomal RNA (1011 nucleotides) under Ehrlichia canis. Its description in RNAcentral is "partial 16S ribosomal RNA". The record is from RNAcentral. Lineage: Bacteria; Pseudomonadati; Pseudomonadota; Alphaproteobacteria; Rickettsiales; Anaplasmataceae.
CUGGGGGAGGGGGGGGGGGCGGGGGGGCCUUUCGGCGUCGGGCGGCCAGCGGGAUCGGGCUUUCCCCCAAUGUGGGCGGUCCCCCGGCUGCCCCCCGUGGGGAAGGCCGCCCCCCCGGACCCGGGGGGCUGAUCUUCCCCACGACCGGCGUAGGGCUAGCCUGGGUAGCCCUUCCUCGCCUGAGCCGACCUCCGCGGCUCGGCCAGAACGAUGACCCACCCCCCCGGGGAGUUACAGGGGGCCCCCGCACGGGGGCUAGCCCGGUCACCAGGGUCGCGCGUUGCAUGGCCCCCGUGGCCACUCCCCCCCCUUGGCCCUUGGCGGCCCUUGAGAUUCCCCAUGGCGGUUUGCGCCGAACGCCCAUGGAAGUUGCCUCAGCAGGGGUUGAAUGUAAAUUGCAAAGGAAGGUAAUGUUUUAUGGCCAAGUAUGCACUGGUGGGAACGUGGGGCCCAGUCAGGUAUGAUGUACCCUUAUUCCACUUCCUUGAAGUUAAGCCCUACUUCUACCUCUCAUGGCUAGGCAUCGGAUCGGUGCCCUCCUCCGAAUGUUCGGGGACUGAACCAAUGAUAAGUGAAAUUUCAUUAAAUAAUAAAAUUCACAUGUAAAGUGCAAUUCAUCUUAAUUAUAUUAAAGUGGGGGAAUUGGGAUGGGGAAUGAAUUUAAUGUGGCUUUGCUUUUUUUUUAAAUUGUACUUUAAUUGAUACUUUUUACACUUUUUAAAUUUAAGGUGAAAAAAAAGAUUCAAUUUCCUCUGACACUCACUAAUUGAUUGACAUGGUUUCUAAUUAAUUUCCUUUUGAACAAUUUUAAAUUUUUUGCAAAUUUUUAAAUUCGUAAAAUUAUAAAACUGGAAUUACCAAUUAAUGCUUACCGGCAUGGUAAAAAAUUUUUUAAAAUUGGAAAAUCCUUGAGCUGAACUUCAACUAAAGCAAUUCCCAAAAUUCUUUCUUAUUUUGUGUAUUUAAAUUGACUAUUUUAAAAACAAUGAAAAAUUUGCAAAAUGAAAAUUU